GGGGGCGUCAUGGUUUCGACGGGGGAAGCGGUGGCAGGAGGAGCGAGCCGGGGUGUCCAUCAGCCCGCAAAACGGUGGAAAAAAUAUAAUUGCCAAUAACGAAUACGCCUUAGCAGCUUAAUUGCUGUCUAACCUUCUACCCGCGUUGGGCCCGUGGCCCGGGCUAGAGGGUCAUUUAAACGGGCUGGCUUAAGUCCAAUUCUCGGAGGGUUUAAGCAAGACUGAUCGAGAUAGUCCCAAGGGAGCCCGGCUGUAGGCGCCCGCGGAACGAAACCUAAACUGCAGCCUGCGCUCGGAGAAACUCCUGUGGUCGGUCUUCCGGACGGUGGGUUCGAUUCCCCCCGCCUCCACCA
This 353-nucleotide transfer-messenger RNA is filed under the name Firmicutes bacterium ADurb.Bin373. RNAcentral describes it as "transfer-messenger RNA, SsrA". It matches the Rfam family "transfer-messenger RNA". From Rfam's summary of the family: Bacterial tmRNA, also known as 10Sa RNA or SsrA, is named for its dual tRNA and mRNA-like properties. Its role is to liberate the mRNA from a stalled ribosome. Lineage: Bacteria; Bacillati; Bacillota. The record is from RNAcentral.